Molecule: transfer RNA, 73 nt
Filed under: Camelus bactrianus (Bactrian camel)
Lineage: Eukaryota; Metazoa; Chordata; Mammalia; Artiodactyla; Camelidae
Also listed under: 2 other names
Rfam family: tRNA
About the family: Transfer RNA (tRNA) molecules are approximately 80 nucleotides in length.
Source: Rfam by way of RNAcentral
GAGGGCAUAGCUCAAAUGGUAGAUGGUAUGCUUAGCAUGCAUAAGGUCCUGGGUUCAAUCCCCAGUACCUCCU